RNAcentral lists this ribosomal RNA (434 nucleotides) under uncultured bacterium. Its description in RNAcentral is "partial 16S ribosomal RNA". It matches the Rfam family "Bacterial small subunit ribosomal RNA", at positions 29 to 507 of the family's 1533-position model. The record is from RNAcentral.
AGCGAACGCUGGCGGCAGGCCUAACACAUGCAAGUCGAACGAACCUUUCGGGGUUAGUGGCGGACGGGUGAGUAUCACGUGGGAACGUGCCUUUAGGUUCGGAAUAACUCAGGGAAACUUGUGCUAAUACCGAAUGUGCCCUUCGGGGGAAAGAUUAAUCGCCUUUAGAGCGGCCCGCGUCUGAUUAGCUAGUUGGUUGAGGUAAUGGCUCACCAAGGCGACGAUCAGUAGCUGGUCUGAGAGGAUGAUCAGCCACAUUGGGACUGAGACACGGCCCAAACUCCUACGGGAGGCAGCAGUGGGGAAUCUUGCGCAAUGGGCGAAAGCCUGACGCAGCCAUGCCGCGUGAAUGAUGAAGGUCUUAGGAUUGUAAAAUUCUUUCACCGGGGACGAUAAUGACGGUACCCGGAGAAGAAGCCCCGGCUAACUUCGUG